Molecule: long non-coding RNA, 250 nt
Organism: Anopheles arabiensis
Lineage: Eukaryota; Metazoa; Arthropoda; Insecta; Diptera; Culicidae
Exons: 2
Source: RefSeq, a predicted model, not a curated record
GAGAGAGAAGGAGAGAGAGAGGGAACUUAAUCGUUGUCGCCGUGCGCUGCUCAACGAGAGAGCGCUACGCGCUGACCGAGAGAAUUCUUAUCAGCUUAAUCAGUCGCGUUCUGAACUCUGACCCGAUCAGUCGCGUUCUGAUCUCCGUACCAACAAGUCGCGUUUUGACCUCAGACCCAAAAAGUUGCGUUCUGACCAAUCUGUUCUAAAGUGAAAUAAACUUGUGAAUUAACAACAUCUUACAAACAUA